RNAcentral lists this transfer RNA (72 nucleotides) under Manacus vitellinus (golden-collared manakin). It matches the Rfam family "tRNA". From Rfam's summary of the family: Transfer RNA (tRNA) molecules are approximately 80 nucleotides in length. The record is from Rfam by way of RNAcentral. Lineage: Eukaryota; Metazoa; Chordata; Aves; Passeriformes; Pipridae.
UCCCUGGUGGUCUAGUGGUUAGGAUGUGGCGCUUUCACCACUGCAACCCGGGUUUGAUUCCCGGUCAGGGAA